GUGGAUUGUGGCUCAGCGGUAGAGUACUCGCCUCGCACAUGUAAGACCCUGGGUUCGAUCCUCAGCAUCACA
This 72-nucleotide transfer RNA is filed under the name Marmota monax (woodchuck). RNAcentral describes it as "tRNA.Ala". Lineage: Eukaryota; Metazoa; Chordata; Mammalia; Rodentia; Sciuridae. The record is from RNAcentral.